CAGCCGCCGCGUAAUACAGAGGGUGCGAGCGUUAAUCGGAUUUACUGGGCGUAAAGCGUGCGUAGGCGGCUUCUUAAGUCGGAUGUGAAAUCCCUGAGCUUAACUUAGGAAUUGCAUUCGAUACUGGGAAGCUAGAGUAUGGGAGAGGAUGGUAGAAUUCCAGGUGUAGCGGUGAAAUGCGUAGAGAUCUGGAGGAAUACCGAUGGCGAAGGCAGCCAUCUGGCCUAAUACUGACGCUGAGGUACGAAAGCAUGGGGAGCAAACAGGAUUAGAUACCCCGGUAGUCCCUGUCUCUUAUACC
Molecule: ribosomal RNA, 301 nt
Filed under: uncultured bacterium
Lineage: Bacteria
Description: partial 16S ribosomal RNA
Rfam family: Bacterial small subunit ribosomal RNA
Source: RNAcentral